CGAAAGCCUGACGGAGCAAUACCGCGUGAGGGAAGAAGGCUUUUGGGUUGUAAACCUCUUUUGUCAGGGAAGAAGAAUUGACGGUACCUGAAGAAAAAGCAUCGGCUAACUCCGUGCCAGCAGCCGCGGUAAUACGGAGGAUGCAAGCGUUAUCCGGAAUCAUUGGGCGUAAAGGGUCCGCAGGUGGCGAAUAAAGUCUGCUGUUAAAGACCGGGGCUUAACUCCGGAAAGGCAGUGGAAACUGAUUAGCUAGAGUACGGUAGGGGUAGAGGGGAUUCCCAGUGUAGCGGUGAAAUGCGUAGAUAUUGGGAAGAACACCGGUGGCGAAAGCGCUCUACUAGGCCGAAACUGACACUGAGGGACGAAAGCUAGGGUAGCGAAAGGGAUUAGAUACCCCUGUAGUCUUAGCGGUAAACGAUGGAUACUAGGUGUAGCUUGUAUCGACCCGAGCUGUGCCGAAGCUAACGCGAUAAGUAUCCCGCCUGGGGAGUACGCACGCAAGUGUGAAACUCAAAGGAAUUGACGGGGGCCCGCACAAGCGGUGGAGUAUGUGGUUUAAUUCGAUGCAACGCGAAGAACCUUACCAGGGCUUGACAUGUCGCGAAUCUAGCGGAAACGUUAGAGUGCCUUAGGGAAUGCGAACACAGGUGGUGCAUGGCUGUCGUCAGCUCGUGUCGUGAGAUGUUGGGUUAAGUCCCGCAACGAGCGCAACCCUCGUCCUUAGUUGCCAAUAUUAAGUUAGGCACUCUAGGGAGACUGCCGGGGACAACUCGGAGGAAGGUGGGGAUGACGUCAAGUCAGCAUGCCCCUUACGUCCUGGGCGACACACGUACUACAAUGGUUGGGACAAAGGGCAGCAAGCUCGCGAGAGUAAGCGAAUCUCAUCAAACCCAGCCACAGUUCAGAUUGCAGGCUGCAACUCGCCUGCAUGAAGUAGGAAUCGCUAGUAAUCGCAGGUCAGCAUACUGCGGUGAAUUCGUUCCCGGGCCUUGUACACACCGCCCGUCACACCAUGGAAGCUGGCUACGCCCGAAGUCGUUACCCUAACCCGGUUUUGGGAGGGGGAUGCCGAAGGUAGAGCUAGUGACUGGGGUGAAGUCGUAACAAGGUAGCCGUACCGGAAGGUGUGGCUGGAUCACCUCCUUU
This 1146-nucleotide ribosomal RNA is filed under the name uncultured cyanobacterium. RNAcentral's name for it is "bacterial SSU rRNA". It matches the Rfam family "Bacterial small subunit ribosomal RNA", at positions 376 to 1533 of the family's 1533-position model. Lineage: Bacteria; Bacillati; Cyanobacteriota. The record is from RNAcentral.